AUACAGAGGGUGCAAGCGUUAUUCGGAAUUACUGGGCGUAAAGCGCGCGUAGGCGGCUGAUUAAGUCAGUUGUGAAAGCCCUGGGCUCAACCUAGGAACAGCAUCUGAUACUGGUCAUCUAGAGUUUAAGAGAGGGAAGUGGAAUUCCAGGUGUAGCAGUGAAAUGCGUAGAUAUCUGGAGGAACAUCAGUGGCGAAGGCGACUUCCUGGCUUAGAACUGACGCUGAGGUGCGAAAGCGUGGGUAGCGAACGGGAUUAGAAACCCUAGUAGUCC
This 274-nucleotide ribosomal RNA is filed under the name uncultured bacterium. RNAcentral's name for it is "partial 16S ribosomal RNA". It matches the Rfam family "Bacterial small subunit ribosomal RNA", at positions 523 to 796 of the family's 1533-position model. The record is from RNAcentral.